AAACUUUCAACAACGGAUCUCUUGGCUCUCGCAUCGAUGAAGAACGCAGCGAAAUGUGAUAAGUAAUGUGAAUUGCAGAAUUCAGUGAAUCAUCGAAUCUUUGAACGCAUCUUGCACUCCUUGGUAUUCCGAGGAGUAUGUCUGUUUGAGUGUC
This 154-nucleotide ribosomal RNA is filed under the name Agaricostilbomycetes sp. TY-241. Its description in RNAcentral is "5.8S ribosomal RNA". It matches the Rfam family "5.8S ribosomal RNA". From Rfam's summary of the family: 5.8S ribosomal RNA (5.8S rRNA) is a component of the large subunit of the eukaryotic ribosome. It is transcribed by RNA polymerase I as part of the 45S precursor that also contains 18S and 28S rRNA. Functionally, it is thought that 5.8S rRNA may be involved in ribosome translocation. Lineage: Eukaryota; Fungi; Basidiomycota; Agaricostilbomycetes. The record is from RNAcentral.